GACGAACGCUGGCGGCGUGCUUAACACAUGCAAGUCGAACGGAAAGGCCCUGCUUUUGUGGGGUGCUCGAGUGGCGAACGGGUGAGUAACACGUGAGUAACCUGCCCUUGACUUUGGGAUAACUUCAGGAAACUGGGGCUAAUACCGGAUAGGAGCUCCUGCUGCAUGGUGGGGGUUGGAAAGUUUCGGCGGUUGGGGAUGGACUCGCGGCUUAUCAGCUUGUUGGUGGGGUAGUGGCUUACCAAGGCUUUGACGGGUAGCCGGCCUGAGAGGGUGACCGGCCACAUGGGGCUGAAGAGCGGGCCCAGUCCCCAACGGGGGGAAACGGGGGGAAAUAUGACAGAAGGGGGGGGAGCCGGUGAGGGCAGCGCCGCGGGCGGAAGGACGGCUUUCGGGUUGAAAACCGCUUUGGCCUGAAACAAGGGGGGAGGGAGGGUAAGGGAUAAGAAAGCCCCGGCUAAUUACGUG
This 468-nucleotide ribosomal RNA is filed under the name uncultured bacterium. Its description in RNAcentral is "partial 16S ribosomal RNA". It matches the Rfam family "Bacterial small subunit ribosomal RNA", at positions 28 to 507 of the family's 1533-position model. The record is from RNAcentral.